GCCGGGAUGGCGGAAUUGGUAGACGCACGGGACUCAAAAUCCCGCGCUUGAAAGGGCGUGGGGGUUCGAUUCCCCCUCCCGGCACCA
RNAcentral lists this transfer RNA (87 nucleotides) under Methylophilaceae bacterium. RNAcentral's name for it is "tRNA-Leu". It matches the Rfam family "tRNA". From Rfam's summary of the family: Transfer RNA (tRNA) molecules are approximately 80 nucleotides in length. Lineage: Bacteria; Pseudomonadati; Pseudomonadota; Betaproteobacteria; Nitrosomonadales; Methylophilaceae. The record is from RNAcentral. RNAcentral also lists the same sequence under 1 other name.